GCAUGGCACUUUUGAACCUGUCAGGGAAAAAGCAAACCAGUGAACUUCAUCUUGUCACUAGUCUUCUUAGGGGCUGCUCUCUAAAGCAAAGGAAAAUAGCAUUCAUUAAAGUGAAAAAUAGAAAGCCCGUGUCAGCCCCCUACAUUCUCCUCUUAGUUAGAAACAGAGUCCAUGGUUGCCGAUGGGAAGGUGGUUCUGAAAGCCCACUGGAUCUGUGCUGACUCUGGAGACUGAAUAUUUUCUUAAUAAUUUCUGAUUUCUUUUUGAAAAGUUUUGACUGUUAAGUCAUUAGCUCUCUUGGAACUUCAGAGUCAAGGGACAUUUUAAACACUGGAGUUCUAAAUCUGAGAGAAUGUUGUAUAAAGUCAAAGAUAAAUUCUAAGUGUAGAAUACAGGACUUCCAAAAUGGGUUCUCCUUGAAUCAUCUAGAAUAACUAUAAACACAUUUAUACAAUCCAUUAUUAAUACGUUCCUUGGUAAAACACCCACAAUCAAACACAAAGCCCCCUUCCCAAUAUAUUUACUUUGCUUACAAUUAUGGAUGCGACCACUAGGAGGCAGGGUAACAGAUGACCAGGAUGUUAAAACUAGGGUCGACAUUAAUGCAGCUUAUAUUUAGUAGAUCUCCCAUGUGCCAGGAACAUUGCAAGGCAAAGCUACUUAUAUUCUAGAAAAUUUUCCUUAGUUGAAAAUAAACAUAUUUAUUAUUGCCACUUUUAUAUAGAAACCUUAUGCUAUCAACUUCUAAUUUAUUGAUGAUGCACCUAAUCAAAAAAAAAAACAAGCUCUUAUAGAACAUUUCUCACAAAUUAUGGUAAUCUAAUUCUCAUCGUAUCCUCAUUCCUUGAUUAAAAUUACCUCCUUCCUUUGUUAUGAACUCUUCAUCAUCUGGGUGAGGCUCCACUCUGCUGGCACAUAGAUAUGGAGGCUUUUGGCCCCAUGGGGGGCUUUCCCCUGCUUCCAGAGGCACAGGGACUUCUUUGCCCUCAUCCCAGUUGAGCUGUGGUGCUAGGCCCAGGAGCAGCCUCGUGCCCUCUCUGCCCCUCCUACCCCAGCCUCAUAUCACAGUGAAGGACUGAACUCAAAUGCACCAAAGUCAAGGGGACUCAUGGGGCCAGAGUGCUGAGAAAUCCUCUCUACCUCUUUUGAGGAUGAUAUUCCUUGUGAAGUCUUUUCUUCCACGGUAUUUCAGUUAAAGAGGCCUGGACUGCUCUGAGAAAGACCCGAGUAUGUAGCUCACCAAGUUCUACUUUAAACACCAGGGGUAGUUAGAUUGUCCCUCCUUGGAAAUUUCAUGAAGCAGAGUGGUUGAGGAAGGACGAAGCCUGUCUUGAUUUGGCAUGUAGCUGUUUAUUACUAGAAACCCAGUUUCCUUUUGAAUCAGAGGGACAGGUUUUAUUUGUCUUUUCAAUCUCUGGGGCUCAGCUCUACUCUUCCUGAAAUCUCUUCUCCCCUACAGGAUAGGGUGGCAAGGAAAGAGAAAAAUCAUGUACCAGAGCCUCGAGACCAUUCCCUUGCAUGUACGUCCAUGUCUUUUCCUCCUUGAGGGCUAUUUCCAUUUUUUCUCUUUCUGACCAAUACUUCAUGUGCCAUCAGUGACUCAGGUUGCCUCUAGCAACAGCUUUGCGUAAGCAAAUCAUCACCCACACUUUCUCCUUUUAAGAAUUGUUUCCAUAAACCUGUAACUUUCACCACAGUGUAUUUCCUAACAAGAUUUAUAACCAGGAGACUUAAUGGAUUUUAAUAAAUGGGACACUUGAAGUAGUUCCGUCAGGCCAAAUUGUCACGUUAGGGACAUUUUCCUGGGUACAGGCAUUUUAUGUAGGAUAAUUUCCCAAUAUACACACACACACACACAUACACACCCCUUUAUGGGUAUCUCCAUAUGUUAUUCGUAUAAUAAUACAUAAGACAAUAAAUUGCCUUUGCAAAUAUUGGAUAUAAUAGAACUAAGCUCAAUUUAUUAGAUACCAGGAUUAAGACAUUAAAAUUAAGGCAAAAUAGGGAAAGAAUAGAAUAUAUUUGUCUUUCCAUGUGCUUUCUCCAGGGAGGACAUGAACUCAACUAGCAGUUUAAGACCCUCCCAGACUCCCUGGGCAUCACUAGAUAUGCCCUAUAUGCCCAUUUAUAUAUCAAGUCAGAAUUUUCCAAACCAGCUCCCACUUUAAAGCCUCUGUGCUGCCCAGGUCCAUCCACAGUAGUUGAGGAUAAGAAGAACAAGAAUGUCCUGAUGUCCAGGAGAGUCUUUAUGGGCAUAUCUGUCCCUAGACAAAUCUUCUUAGGAAGGAACGAGCCAAGAAAACACCACAAAGAAGUUCUAAUUUGAAACACUAUUUGCAUUGAAUGUCUAAUUUUCUAUUUUCAAUGGCCAUUUACAUCUCUGCCUUAAAUAAGCUUCAUAUAUAUAUACUCACAUGCUCAUUCAUAUAUACAGGCAUAUGUUUCUUAACGAGGGGGUAUGUACUAAGAAACUCACCCCUAACGAUUUUGUCAUUAUGUGACCCUCACAGGACAUAGUUUCAUAAGCCUCAAUGGUGUAGGUCAGUCAUUCGACGUGACCUCAACAUGUGAUUCAUGAGGCUGCUGCUGGUGGGACAGGGCAGGCUGGUUACCGUUAAAUUUUUAUAAGAACAGAGAGUACACUCUAGAAUAAUGUUGAAAAACACACAGUGUAGUAAAUACAUUAACCAGUAAUGGAGUCAUUUAUUGUCAUUGUAAGCGUCAUUACGUAGUAUGUGGGAUCGUGUGUGAUAAAAUUUUGUACAGCUGGCAGCGCAGAGGACUUUUUCACACCAGCCUCACACAGUCACACGAGUAGAGCAUCCUGCUGCCAUGUCAGGGUGGCUGUGUUGCCACUAGGCCGUAGAGUGUUUCAGCUCCAUUACAAUCUCAUGGGACUGCCAUCAAUUGUGUAUGGAGUCCAUUGUUGACUGAAAAGUGGGCUGGGGGGGGUUGUCACUCAGUGGUAGAGCAUUUGUCUGGC
Molecule: long non-coding RNA, 2983 nt
Filed under: Marmota monax (woodchuck)
Lineage: Eukaryota; Metazoa; Chordata; Mammalia; Rodentia; Sciuridae
Source: RNAcentral